CCUACGGGAGGCAGCAGUGAGGAAUAUUGGUCAAUGGACGAGAGUCUGAACCAGCCAAGUAGCGUGAAGGAUGACUGCCCUAUGGGUUGUAAACUUCUUUUAUAUGGGAAUAAAAUGUUCCACGUGUGGGAUUUUGUAUGUACCAUAUGAAUAAGGAUCGGCUAACGCAGUGCCAGCCGCCGCGGUAAUACGGAGGAUCCGAGCGUUAUCCGUAUUUAUUGGGUUUAAAGGGAGCGUAGGUGGAUUGUUAAGUCAGUUGUGAAAGUUUGGGGCUCAACCGUAACAUUGCAGUUGAAACUGGCAGUCUUGAGUACGGUAGAGGUGGGCGGAAUUCGUGGUGUAGCGGUGAAAUGCUUAGAUAUCACGAAGAACUCCGAUUGCGAAGGCAGCUCACUGGACUGCAACUGACACUGAGGCUCGAAAGUGUGGGUAUCAAACAGGAUUAGAUACCCUAGUAGUC
Molecule: ribosomal RNA, 460 nt
Filed under: uncultured bacterium
Lineage: Bacteria
Description: partial 16S ribosomal RNA
Rfam family: Bacterial small subunit ribosomal RNA
Source: RNAcentral